AUUAUGACGUUUAUAGCCACACAUGCCAGUGUGUGCCCGUAAUGGAUGCUUGUGUAGGAAAGUCUCCACCUAUCUGAUACACAAAUAUGAUGAAGAGGGAGAAAAAAAGUGAGGCUAUUCCAGACCCUUGUUUUAAUUCUCCAGAAUAAAGAGAUGUCUCACUUUUCAACUGUGCAGAAAGAAAUCCAGGUCUAACUGCUAGCAAGAAUAGGAAUUGAAAUGUGCAAGAGAACCUGGAAACAUGUGUAUACACAGGCAGGAGAGCAAAGGAGGGAAAAGUAUUUUUCCAAAUAGGGUGUGGGUAAUAAGGAGAGGCUUUAAUUUCUAAGUUAAAACUAAGAAGGAUUUUUUUAAAAUA
Molecule: non-coding RNA, 358 nt
Organism: Phascolarctos cinereus (koala)
Lineage: Eukaryota; Metazoa; Chordata; Mammalia; Diprotodontia; Phascolarctidae
Source: RefSeq, a predicted model, not a curated record